RNAcentral lists this ribosomal RNA (407 nucleotides) under uncultured bacterium. Its description in RNAcentral is "partial 16S ribosomal RNA". It matches the Rfam family "Bacterial small subunit ribosomal RNA", at positions 30 to 526 of the family's 1533-position model. The record is from RNAcentral.
AUUGAACGCUAGCGGGAUGCCUUACACAUGCAAGUCGAACGGAGUGGCGAACGGGUGAGUAAUGUAUCGGAACGUGCCCAGUAGCGGGGGAUAACUACGCGAAAGCGUAGCUAAUACCGCAUACUAUCGGAGCGGUCUAGAUCGGAUUAGCUAGUUGGUGGGGUAACGGCUCACCAAGGCGACGAUCCGUAGCUGGUUUGAGAGGACGACCAGCCACACUGGGACUGAGACACGGCCCAGACUCCUACGGGAGGCAGCAGUGGGGAAUUUUGGACAAUGGGCGAAAGCCUGAGCAAGCCAUGCCGCGUGUGUGAUGAAGGCCUUCGGGUUGUAAAGCACUUUUGGCAGGGAAGCGGUACCUACAGAAUAAGCACCGGCUAACUACGUGCCAGCAGCCGCGGUAAUUC